UCUCUUCUCUUCUCUUCUCUUCUCUUUUCUUUUCUUUUCUUUUUUUUGUCAUUUCAUUGCUAUUGCUGGGUUUGAGUUGAAUAAUUGGAAUUUCAAACGAUGCCAAAGGCUUUGGGAUAUUAACGGGCACUUCCAGAGGAUGCCACAGGCUGCUCCCCCGUGCAUGAACAUCACCAGGUCUCAAGAGGACAUAAACACCAAACCCUCCCGGUGCCAGGAGAAAAUCAGGGGGUUGCCAAAGAGGGAAGUCAGCAGGAUUGAGCUAAAGCAAAUUAAUCGAAUCCCGGAGACCGCAACAGGCAGGAGGAUGGAGAAGAGACGGCUCCUGCACACUGAUGCUACACUAAGGAGUAGGCAGUGAGUCCUCGAGGGUGGGAGCAAAGAGAUUUUUCCCUCUGGAAGUGCCGAGGUCAGGGAGGGGAGAGGAAGGCUGUGCAGGGAAGGUGUCAUUUGCUUUCGGUGUUAACGGACGCACGCUGCCAGGAGCAGGCAAGCGGGCUCGUAGCAGUGCGGGAUCUGCUCCAAGAGCCACUGAAGCGAAGGAAAACAUAUCCCACAGGCUGCAGAAAGAGGGUAAACCAGCUUCCAGCCAGGAAUUGCACGUUCUGGUUGCUUGAAUGGGGUCAGCAAGCCAGGAGGGGAAAGAUUCCAGGAUUAAAGUGAGGGGCCAGACCCCAGUGACGGAUGGGAGAUGUAGCUGGGUGUCUUCUGGGUGGAUGGGAAACUACGAUUUCUGUUUAAACAGACGAGGAGGGCGUUCGGGGGAUGGCACAGCCUCCAGCCGCAUCCGUCGUGCUGCAGACAGGACCCCCUUCCUUGUUGGCAGCGAGCCCCGAGAGCGAUGCGGGACCGCUCUGCUAAGCGUCCCCCGCUCCGGCAGCUUGCAUCCCAUUUCAACGGUGAAGGUGGAGGCUACGAGUCACCCUUCGUAAAGCUUUCUCCUCCUUUUCCCAACGGUGUUUUACACCCCUCAAAUUCCGGCCGGUUCAACCAAGGAACUCCCUAGGUCCCUACAAACGAGCGCAGGCUCACUCUCACUAGAUGCACACCGAAUUACUCGGGAUUUAUGUCAGCGUCGCUCCAUCUACAUCCAUGAAUCGAGACCACGACGUUGUAAACUUGCGUGUAAGAGCAAAUCCCCCUUACCGGGAGUCGGGAUUUCAGCAAUUCAUUGCGACGCCUCUCGCUGAGAAACUCCAACUCCGGAGCAAAAGCAAAGAGCAAUAAAGGACGAUCUGGUAGCUUAGGAAACCCAAGCGGGCGUAAAUCAGUACGUUUCCCUCCCAGAUUUACUCCAGCAAACAUUGCGGCUCUGGGAAUCGCUGGAGAACCUCUUCAGGUUAUUGAGGACUAAUAAAUUGUUAUUAAUAAAACAGCCUCUUCUGCUGGAGAGGGAAGAAAUUCCUAUCUGAGCCAGGCUGGGGAUGCUCACGCGCUCCUCUGCGUGACGUGCGGAGCGCUCCGCGUCCCAAACCUACCGGCUUCCCCCACCCGAAUGCCCCGCCAUUAAUUGGAAACCU
Grus americana (Whooping crane) is the source of this 1520-nucleotide long non-coding RNA. RefSeq lists it as uncharacterized. The record is from RefSeq and is a predicted model, not a curated record. The transcript has 3 exons. Lineage: Eukaryota; Metazoa; Chordata; Aves; Gruiformes; Gruidae.